This 22-nucleotide microRNA is filed under the name Callithrix jacchus (white-tufted-ear marmoset). RNAcentral's name for it is "cja-miR-548v". Its record names the gene cja-miR-548v. Lineage: Eukaryota; Metazoa; Chordata; Mammalia; Primates; Cebidae. The record is from miRBase by way of RNAcentral. RNAcentral also lists the same sequence under 2 other names.
UAGCAAAAACUGCAGUUACUUU